CGACGCUCCUCCAGCUGCUCAAUGGGGCUGUCCUCCGGAAAUUCAUAAGGGGUGCUGCGCAUCUCACUCUCUGCCAGAGUCAAUGGAUUGUUUCAAGGCCACUGGGAUCCCAGGCAAGGAAUGCUGGGAAGUGAGGAGGUGGCGGGCACCUCGGAGAUCAGCUGGAGAUAAAGAGGAGAAAGAGGGAAACUCAUGAAAUAAGAAACAAAACAUUCUGCAGAAGAUGGUUCCCCUGCCAGUGGGCCUUUACACAACAGUGGAGGUCUGAGGUCAGCGCCUCAAGACACAAUGGACCAUUGGGGUGGAGCGCCGGCAGCGCACAUACCGGCUAAUACCGUCCAUUGUUGACAUUUCAAGACUCAAGUUUUAGACAAACACAGUUGUCAUGCAAAGGACCCAAAAAGAAAAAGAAGGCGGUGGUCAUUGAAAAAGACAAAGACGGCGGGCUGGAGAGUGGAUGCUCGGCGAGGAGGUUGUCAGCAGCGAUGAAGAAAACAAAGAACUGAACCAUUCGUCUUUAAGAAACAAAUGGUUAGGAGAGACAAUGCUUUUGUUUUCCCUCUGGGUGUAUAUUUAGCAGUCUGUCUGCAGUGAUAUUCAUCUUAGACACCUGCCACUGAAAUAUUCAUCAUCCUGUUGAAUAUUUCAUCCUGUGUGUGCUAGAGUGUCAUUGAUCCUGCUCUCUGUCAGCAUGUAUUGACCCAAGACAGAAAAAGGUCAAAGAAGGCCCGCUGACUGUCGUCUGUGUUGUUCCUGAUUUAUAUAAUAAUAAUAAUAAUCUUGCUCUAUGUGAACAAUAGAGGAUC
This is a long non-coding RNA of Pseudoliparis swirei, 806 nucleotides long. RefSeq lists it as uncharacterized. Lineage: Eukaryota; Metazoa; Chordata; Actinopteri; Perciformes; Liparidae. The transcript has 3 exons. The record is from RefSeq and is a predicted model, not a curated record.